Molecule: ribosomal RNA, 470 nt
Filed under: uncultured bacterium
Lineage: Bacteria
Description: partial 16S ribosomal RNA
Rfam family: Bacterial small subunit ribosomal RNA
Source: RNAcentral
GACGAACGCUGGCGGCGUGCUUAACACAUGAAAGUCGAACGGUGAACGAGGGAGCUUGCUCCCUCCGGAUCAGUGGCGAACGGGUGAGUAACACGUGAGCAAUCUGCCCCGAACUCUGGGAUAAGCGUUGGAAACGACGUCUAAUACCGGAUACGACGCGGGAGGGCAUCCUCUCCGCGUGUAAAGAACUUCGGUUCGGGAUGAGCUCGCGGCCUAUCAGCUUGUUGGUGAGGUCACGGCUCACCAAGGCGACGACGGGUAGCCGGCCUGAGAGGGUGACCGGCCACACUGGGACUGAGACACGGCCCAGACUCCUACGGGAGGCAGCAGUGGGGAAUAUUGCACAAUGGGCGCAAGCCUGAUGCAGCAACGCCGCGUGAGGGACGACGGCCUUCGGGUUGUAAACCUCUUUUAGCAGGGAAGAAGCGAAAGUGACGGUACCUGCAGAAAAAGCACCGGCUAGCUACGUG